GAUGAACGCUGGCGGCGUGCCUAAUACAUGCAAGUCGAGCGAACGGACGAGAAGCUUGCUUCUCUGAUGUUAGCGGCGGACGGGUGAGUAACACGUGGAUAACCUACCUAUAAGACUGGGAUAACUUCGGGAAACCGGAGCUAAUACCGGAUAAUAUUUUGAACCGCAUGGUUCAAAAGUGAAAGACGGUCUUGCUGUCACUUAUAGAUGGGUCCGCGCUGCAUUAGCUAGUUGGUAAGGUAACGGCUUACCAAGGCAACGAUGCAUAGCCGACCUGAGAGGGUGAUCGGCAACACUGGAACUGAGACACGGUCCAGACUCCUACGGGAGGCAGCAGUAGGGAAUCUUCCGCAAUGGGCGAAAGCCUGACGGAGCAACGCCGCGUGAGUGAUGAAGGUCUUCGGAUCGUAAAACUCUGUUAUUAGGGAAGAACAUAUGUGUAAGUAACUGUGCACAUCUUGACGGUACCUAAUCAGAAAGCCACGGCUAACUACGUG
Molecule: ribosomal RNA, 497 nt
Filed under: uncultured bacterium
Lineage: Bacteria
Description: partial 16S ribosomal RNA
Rfam family: Bacterial small subunit ribosomal RNA
Source: RNAcentral